Bombus impatiens (common eastern bumble bee) is the source of this 157-nucleotide long non-coding RNA. RefSeq lists it as uncharacterized. The record is from RefSeq and is a predicted model, not a curated record. The transcript has 2 exons. NCBI's taxonomy places the organism in Eukaryota, Metazoa, Arthropoda, Insecta, Hymenoptera, Apidae.
UAUAUAUAUAUAUAUAUAUAUAUAUAUAUAUAUAUAUACUUAAGGCAUCUGUAUGAUUUAAACGAAGAUUGCGAAUAUGAAUUUUUUUCUGAUAGUAACUUUGUAUUGCCCCAGUAUUAAAUUAAAUUAAAUUGUUACUUAAUUACGUAAAUGAUUC